GUAUUUAUGUCUCAGAACGUAAGUCUCUGCUUAAAUGUUCGGCUACUGGUAUGAGUUGUGUUCGGCAAUAAUAACGCAUAAUUAUGUGGGAUUGAGUUCAACUAAGAUGCAGCGCCCUUUGUGGUUUUGAACAGUUUAAGCUAUGAUUGAAACCAUUCUUGUUGGUUUCCUUCCAUCUUUUUUUUUUUGUUUAUAUUAUUAGUUUGUUUGUCAGUUUUCAAUAGGAUCUGCUAAUAAAAUUAUCAAAUUUUAUAAUAUAUGAUUUGAACUUUUGUUUGAGCUUUGAGUUAGCCCGUAUUUUUCUUUAGUAAUGUAGACGCUAAUUCUGACAAUGCAGCUGUCACUAAGGCUUUGGGUGACAUCAGAAGCAGGGGGAAGUUCAAAAGCGUUUGGGAAGCUGGAAAAAUCAUUUAUACUAUGUCACUCUGGGGAAUUUUUCUUGCAGGCUUGUAUAGACACCGGGCUAUAGUGAAAGCUGCUGCCAAAGGUGCUUCUUCAUCCGCCAAAUUUAUUCUCAAGGCUCUUUAAUUUCUAGCAUUUCUUCUAGUUCUACGACAAUCAGUAAAUGUUGUGCUGUACAUAAACUAGCAAUCCAAAAAAAAAAAAAAACUUCGAUUGAGAAUUUGAACCUGUAAUGUUCUUCACAAUGAUUUCAUUGUUUGUUCUACCCUUCAUAUGCUAAGGGUGGAUUCUGAUGGUAACAGUGCCACAAUGGUAUUAAGAAGUCUGAAACAUGUCCUGUACAAAUUGAUUUUAUUUGCUUAGUUAUUCCAACAAAAGCAA
Long non-coding RNA from Dendrobium catenatum, 783 nucleotides. RefSeq lists it as uncharacterized. The record is from RefSeq and is a predicted model, not a curated record. NCBI's taxonomy places the organism in Eukaryota, Viridiplantae, Streptophyta, Magnoliopsida, Asparagales, Orchidaceae. The transcript has 2 exons.